GGGGCCGUGGGGUAGCUUGGUCCAUCCUCUCGGCCUGGGGCGCCGGAGACCCGGGUUCAAAUCCCGGCGGCCCCACCA
This 78-nucleotide transfer RNA is filed under the name Thermococcus sp. RNAcentral's name for it is "tRNA-Pro". It matches the Rfam family "tRNA". Rfam says of the family: Transfer RNA (tRNA) molecules are approximately 80 nucleotides in length. RNAcentral also lists the same sequence under 3 other names. Lineage: Archaea; Methanobacteriati; Methanobacteriota; Thermococci; Thermococcales; Thermococcaceae. The record is from RNAcentral.